CCCUGAGAAGGUCUUGGCCUGAAGACACUCACCUCUCUUUCCCCAGGAGUGUCUUUUAGGAAGACAGACAAAUAGCCAGCAGUUCCACAGCGACUCAGGGGACUGCCAGGGUUCAAAUCCUGCUCCUGCUAGAUGCCACUUCUGCUGCUCUUCAUUGCUGCCCUAGACAAGGCCAGGCCCUGCGGCGUGCUGCGAGCCUUCCUUCCGUUAUCUUUACCAGCUCUACAUGGUCAUUCACAGAUGAGAAAGCUGAAGAUCAGAGAGCUCACACAUUUUCCCCAAGGUUACACAGUCAGUAAGAGACACUAUCAGGAUUCCAAUGACCUGCUGUUAAAGUUCAUCU
Molecule: long non-coding RNA, 343 nt
Filed under: Pan troglodytes (chimpanzee)
Lineage: Eukaryota; Metazoa; Chordata; Mammalia; Primates; Hominidae
Description: lincRNA
Source: RNAcentral